Molecule: transfer RNA, 73 nt
Filed under: Stegodyphus mimosarum
Lineage: Eukaryota; Metazoa; Arthropoda; Arachnida; Araneae; Eresidae
Rfam family: tRNA
About the family: Transfer RNA (tRNA) molecules are approximately 80 nucleotides in length. Their secondary structure includes four short double-helical elements and three loops (D, anti-codon, and T loops). Further hydrogen bonds mediate the characteristic L-shaped molecular structure. tRNAs have two regions of fundamental functional importance: the anti-codon, which is responsible for specific mRNA codon recognition, and the 3' end, to which the tRNAs corresponding amino acid is attached (by aminoacyl-tRNA synthetases). tRNAs cope with the degeneracy of the genetic code in two manners: having more than one tRNA (with a specific anti-codon) for a particular amino acid; and 'wobble' base-pairing, i.e. permitting non-standard base-pairing at the 3rd anti-codon position.
Source: Rfam by way of RNAcentral
GCCUUCGUGGUGUAGUGGUCAGCACGCUGGGCUGGUAUUCCAGAGGCUCGUGGUUCGAGUUUCGGCGAAGGCA